UACGUAGGGUGCGAGCGUUGUCCGGAAUUAUUGGGCGUAAAGAGCUCGUAGGCGGUCUGUCGCGUCGGAUGUGAAACCCGGGGCUUAACCCUGGGCCUGCAUUCGAUACGGGCAGACUAGAGUUCGGUAGGGGAGACGUGGAAUUCCUGGUGUAGCGGUGAAAUGACGCAGAUAUCAGGAGGAACACCGGUGGCGAAGGCGGGUCUCUAGGCCGAUACUGACGCUGAGGAGCGAAAGCGUGGGGAGCGAACAGG
Molecule: ribosomal RNA, 254 nt
Filed under: uncultured bacterium
Lineage: Bacteria
Description: partial 16S ribosomal RNA
Rfam family: Bacterial small subunit ribosomal RNA
Source: RNAcentral